RNAcentral lists this small nuclear RNA (274 nucleotides) under Nannospalax galili (Upper Galilee mountains blind mole rat). RNAcentral describes it as "7SK RNA (ENSNGAG00000008376.1)". It matches the Rfam family "7SK RNA". From Rfam's summary of the family: 7SK was discovered as an abundant small nuclear RNA in the mid-70s but a possible function has only recently been suggested. The record is from RNAcentral. Lineage: Eukaryota; Metazoa; Chordata; Mammalia; Rodentia; Spalacidae.
AGAGUGAUCUGGCUAUGACAUGUCACCCCAUUGAUUACUGUGGUUGAUUUGGCUGGCUAGGUGAGUGUCCCCUUCCUCCGUGAGUGUUCUAUGUGUGUCCCUCCUGAUGCUGCAUAUGAGGUUGAAGAGGCUGACCUUCAUUCGUCCAUCAAGAGUAUAAAAGCAGCUGCAUUCCCCUAGUAGAACCUCUAAAGAAGUACUCCAGGUUCAUUUGUAGGCAAAUGUUAAGAGUUAAGCUUCCAAGAGUCCAGAUCCAUCCCAGUGAGGCACACUG